Nycticebus coucang (slow loris) is the source of this 934-nucleotide long non-coding RNA. RefSeq lists it as uncharacterized. The record is from RefSeq and is a predicted model, not a curated record. The transcript has 3 exons. NCBI's taxonomy places the organism in Eukaryota, Metazoa, Chordata, Mammalia, Primates, Lorisidae.
UGACAGCUCAAAGCUCUUUCCGCAUUGCAAUGCCUGUAUUUACCCUGGAGAGAAUACAAUAAAGGAGACUUGAUCAGACUCCUGUCUUGUCUCCAUUCUUGGCGCCCCCUGCCCCUUCCCAUUCUCACCCCUUCCUCCAGGUAUCCCUGUCCACUGACCUGCCGGAUGGGUCACAUGGUGCCCGAACGUGGGACCUGGAUACGAAGGACAAGGCGCCUGAACAUGGGACCUGGAUACGAAGGACAACGCUACAGGAGAUAGCCGGCUCAAUUAGGAAAAAAGAGGACUACCUGCGUGGGAGCCUGCCGCGCUGGAACCAGGGCCUCGAUCCAGGAUCAGAGGUGGACCAGGACAGCAGAGGAGCCCCUGCGCCUACCACACAGCAAGCACCAGUUGUAAGCAACAGCGGUCCAUUGCUGAGGGAAUGGCCAAGGCUCCUGGUGAGGUACACUGAGAAAAACCCUCCAGCAAUCCAACCCCGACCCCAAGCACCAGUUAACACAAGAGGAAUUGGAAGCCCGUUGUGCACUGAAAAGAACCAUAAGGACAGUGAAACCCAAACUCAGUCCAACUUUGAUUAGAUUCACUCACCCCCCUGUGCUGAUAGAGACAGAGUCUCACUUUACCGUCCUUGGUAGAGUGCCAGGACGUCACAGGACUCACGGCAACCUCCAGCUCUUGGGCUUCCGUGAUUCUCCUGCCUCAGCCUCCCGAGCAGCUGGGACUACAGGCGCCUGCCUCACACCCGGCUAUUUUUUGGUUGCAGUUCAGCCAGGGCUGGGUUUGAACCCACCACCCUCGGUAUAUGGGGCCGGUGCCCUACUCACUGAGCCACAGGCGCCACCCUAAAAGUCAUUGAUUUUAGUAAAUUAUUUAAUGACAUAGAUGUAGUAAUAAUAAACGCAAACUUACAAAAACAACCUCAACUUCACUA